AUAUAAAAUGCUGUAAUUGAAUGCCCAAAAGUUGCCUCUCCAUAUGUGUUGGCGGCAUUUUGUAUAAAUCAACCAAUUUUACUCUGCUUCAAGAAUUUAUAAACAGCCAACUGUCAAUGGACUCAAAGUCCGGGUUUUCUGAAAAAAUAGGACAACUAACCUUUAAUUGUUUCUGCACAAAAAUGGUGUGGAGCAUUGUCUUGAUUUGCUAUGCCCUCGGGGUUUGUUAAUUUGUUCUGCUUUAUAAACAGGGGGACAAUUAAAGUUAAGGUGAGUGUGGUAUAUACUGUACCGGUAGUUAAUUAGUGGUCACGUUUCAAUUUAAAUCUUCAACCAACUAUAAAUAUCUUUUACUCUUUUGGUACUGUCUACACGCUUCCUAAAAUAUUACAAAACACAUUCAAUACUAGUAACAGCAAUACUGGUACAGUGUUUGGAACCAAAUGUGUUUUAAUGCUGCAAAUUCCUAACGUUGAACUUCGAAUUAAUUGCGCAAAAAACUUCACCUGAUGUCGAACUGGGUCAGGUGCGUCAAUCAUUCUGUGCGCUUUAGCUGUGGAUUUGCGUUGUUUUUGAAGAAGGCAGGUUUAAAAUGCAAGUCAAAAACGUUGGGAUGAGCGGACAUGUACUGGUAUACACGUGGAAUGCUAAUCUGGAAACCGAAGGCUAUUUUAUGGACCCACACAGAUUAAUUUUCACAGAUCUUGAACAAAUAACUGGGACAUGACUUGGCCUCAGCCUGCAGUAGCCGAGUCCUUUGGCUGACUGAACAACGCUGGAGCAGCUAAGAUGUUUUUUUAUUACUAUGGAAGCAACAGCUUCCUUUCUGACUCUGGAAGAUGCCACAAAAAUACCUUUUAUUUUAUUUUAAUUUUUCUUAUUUUUUUAAAGCUUACAAAGACUGAAGUAAAUAUUUUGCUACAAUAUAUUUAAAGUGUUCCAUUACCGUUUCAAAUUAGACCUCCGAUAGUUCAGAUAUUACGUUUAAUGAAAGUGUAUUUAGCUAGUGUUCUUCGUUAAUUAGGCAGCAUCGUGCAAUUUGCCACAAUGGUAGAUCCACAGAUAUUUUAAAGGCUAGGUGCCUGAUAUCAGUUACUGAAGUUCCUCAGAGGGAUGUUCCAUACCAUUCUGCCUUAGUAACAGACUGUAUGCUUUUAAUAGGAUGUACGCUUGUAUCGUUGGACCUUGAUUUAUAUUGACCAUUCAACUGUAGAAUAUUAUAAUGCUGCCUAGCACUUAGCAUCUACGUCUAAACCUGCACUAUCAGUCAUAAAUUGAAUAUAUAUAGCAUUUUAUAAUAUAAAUAUUAAAUAUUUUACUUUUUUCCCCCUUUUUAUGAGCACUGAUUUAGAACCAUGAUUGGACUGUUGAAAGCAGACUUGUAACUUUUGACCAAAGUCUCCAGAAGCUUGUUACUUCAAUGGAUUUCACAAGCAAACCUGUACAAUCUUUUACUGCUGCUAUAUUGUGUAUCUUGACAAAAAUAAAAUGUGCCUGCUCUGUCACCUCAAUCACA
This is a long non-coding RNA of Acipenser ruthenus (sterlet), 1516 nucleotides long. RefSeq lists it as uncharacterized. The transcript is spliced from 3 exons. NCBI's taxonomy places the organism in Eukaryota, Metazoa, Chordata, Actinopteri, Acipenseriformes, Acipenseridae. The record is from RefSeq and is a predicted model, not a curated record.